GAUGAACGCUGGCGGCGUGCCUAAUACAUGCAAGUCGAGCGAACAGACGAGGAGCUUGCUCCUCUGACGUUAGCGGCGGACGGGUGAGUAACACGUGGAUAACCUACCUAUAAGACUGGGAUAACUUCGGGAAACCGGAGCUAAUACCGGAUAAUAUAUUGAACCGCAUGGUUCAAUAGUGAAAGACGGUUUUGCUGUCACUUAUAGAUGGAUCCGCGCCGCAUUAGCUAGUUGGUAAGGUAACGGCUUACCAAGGCAACGAUGCGUAGCCGACCUGAGAGGGUGAUCGGCCACACUGGAACUGAGACACGGUCCAGACUCCUACGGGAGGCAGCAGUAGGGAAUCUUCCGCAAUGGGCGAAAGCCUGACGGAGCAACGCCGCGUGAGUGAUGAAGGUCUUCGGAUCGUAAAACUCUGUUAUUAGGGAAGAACAAAUGUGUAAGUAACUAUGCACGUCUUGACGGUACCUAAUAGAAAGCCACGGCUAACUACGUG
RNAcentral lists this ribosomal RNA (496 nucleotides) under uncultured bacterium. RNAcentral describes it as "partial 16S ribosomal RNA". It matches the Rfam family "Bacterial small subunit ribosomal RNA", at positions 28 to 507 of the family's 1533-position model. The record is from RNAcentral.